This 1455-nucleotide ribosomal RNA is filed under the name uncultured organism. Its description in RNAcentral is "SSU rRNA". It matches the Rfam family "Bacterial small subunit ribosomal RNA". The record is from RNAcentral.
GAUGAACGCUAGUUACAGGCUUAACACAUGCAAGUCGAGGGGCAUCAGGAAGAAAGCUUGCUUUCUUUGCUGGCGACCGGCGCACGGGUGAGUAACACGUAUCCAACCUGCCCUUUACUCGGGGAUAGCCUUUCGAAAGAAAGAUUAAUACCCGAUAGCAUAAUGAUUCCGCAUGGUUUCAUUAUUAAAGGAUUCCGGUAAAGGAUGGGGAUGCGUUCCAUUAGGUUGUUGGUGAGGUAACGGCCCACCAAGCCUUCGAUGGAUAGGGGUUCUGAGAGGAAGGUCCCCCACAUUGGAACUGGGACACGGUCCAAACUCCUACGGGAGGCAGCAGUGAGGAAUAUUGGUCAAUGGGCGCUAGCCUGAACCAGCCAAGUAGCGUGAAGGAUGAAGGCUCUAUGGGUCGUAAACUUCUUUUAUAUAAGAAUAAAGUGCAGUAUGUAUACUGUUUUGUAUGUAUUAUAUGAAUAAGGAUCGGCUAACUCCGUGCCAGCAGCCGCGGUAAUACGGAGGAUCCGAGCGUUAUCCGGAUUUAUUGGGUUUAAAGGGAGCGUAGGUGGACUGGUAAGUCAGUUGUGAAAGUUUGCGGCUCAACCGUAAAAUUGCAGUUGAUACUGUCAGUCUUGAGUACAGUAGAGGUGGGCGGAAUUCGUGGUGUAGCGGUGAAAUGCUUAGAUAUCACGAAGAACUCCGAUUGCGAAGGCAGCUCACUGGACUGCAACUGACACUGAUGCUCGAAAGUGUGGGUAUCAAACAGGAUUAGAUACCCUGGUAGUCCACACAGUAAACGAUGAAUACUCGCUGUUUGCGAUAUACAGUAAGCGGCCAAGCGAAAGCAUUAAGUAUUCCACCUGGGGAGUACGCCGGCAACGGUGAAACUCAAAGGAAUUGACGGGGGCCCGCACAAGCGGAGGAACAUGUGGUUUAAUUCGAUGAUACGCGAGGAACCUUACCCGGGCUUAAAUUGCAGUGGAAUGAUGUGGAAACAUGUCAGUGAGCAAUCACCGCUGUGAAGGUGCUGCAUGGUUGUCGUCAGCUCGUGCCGUGAGGUGUCGGCUUAAGUGCCAUAACGAGCGCAACCCUUAUCUUUAGUUACUAACAGGUUAUGCUGAGGACUCUAGAGAGACUGCCGUCGUAAGAUGUGAGGAAGGUGGGGAUGACGUCAAAUCAGCACGGCCCUUACGUCCGGGGCUACACACGUGUUACAAUGGGGGGUACAGAAGGCAGCUAGCGGGUGACCGUAUGCUAAUCCCAAAAUCCUCUCUCAGUUCGGAUCGAAGUCUGCAACCCGACUUCGUGAAGCUGGAUUCGCUAGUAAUCGCGCAUCAGCCACGGCGCGGUGAAUACGUUCCCGGGCCUUGUACACACCGCCCGUCAAGCCAUGGGAGCCGGGGGUACCUGAAGUACGUAACCGCAAGGAUCGUCCUAGGGUAAAACUGGUGACUGGGGCUAAGU